CACGACGUGGUGAACUUUUAAAAACGGAUUCAGUAGUACCAAAAUACUCAUAAUGUGCAGACAGACAAAAGAACUGGAAGGAGUCGUGUUUUCAGACACAGGAAGCUUUUCACGUGCUCCACCUGGACCUCAUCUCUCAGCCUCACACUCCGAUCUUCAGCAGCCCCCGCUAUGCGCCCGAGUCUUGGGACGUCAUCCCGGAGCUCCUAGCCUGCCCGGGAGGCAGAGCCAUCAGAUUCUCCUCUUGGCCCCUUAUCCCAACUAAACACAUCACCACUGAGGACCUGUCCAGGGGUUUAGCUCCUGAUGAAGAGACAGAGAAAAGGUCAGAGAAAGGAAGGGUGACGCUCCAUCCAAGAUGACUACAGCGCUAUGAUUUCCAGAUGGGGAAGGUCACGGAUGCUGGACGCAACAGAAUCUCAACAGGGACCCGAGAGAGAGAGGCUCCUCUCUCCCUACACUAAUAUCCCACGAUCCCUGUGUCACUUUCCAGAACACACUGUCAGUUCCAUGGACCUAGGAUUAUAAAAUCCUGUAAGAUUUAUACAGAAAAUAUAAAAAUCUGGGGAGGGGGAACUGUGAAACAAUGUGAAAAAAACUAUUUGUCAAAUGGACAGUGGGGAAUAACUUCUCCUCCCGCACCUCCUCCAAGCUUCUAACAACACUCAUGGCACACAAUACAGAGGAGACUGCCAUAAAAAUGACUUAAAAUGUGCCCUUUUGAGGUAAAGUAACUAUGGGACAAGUGACUAUAAAAAUGACACAGCUGGGGAGAUCCAAAUCUAUUCCUGCUCAGCAAGUUUCCAGAUUAAAAUGUGUCUGCUUACCUAGUCAA
Molecule: long non-coding RNA, 835 nt
Filed under: Homo sapiens (human)
Lineage: Eukaryota; Metazoa; Chordata; Mammalia; Primates; Hominidae
Description: non-protein coding XXYLT1-AS2:2
Source: RNAcentral